AUCCCAAAGAUGCUUGAGAGGAUUGGGAUCUGGAUAAUUAGUGAAGAGUCAACACUUUGAACUUGGCUAUGCAUCCCGAUUUGCACCAAACUGACACCCCUCCAUCAGAACCAGCAUCAACAUCUUUCUGCAGUUUGAGCUUCAGUAGUUUGGCUGUUGGAUUGGACCACAUUUAAAUACAUCAUACUUUGGCCCCCCAUGACCUUGUCAUCACAACAGAGGUUUUCCCUCCUUGGAUCAUGUCUAGAAGGUGCUCAUUUCUCCAGACUGGACAUUUAACAAUCAAUUUUUUGUCUUUGAGAUGCUCUGACCAUGUUGUUUAGCCUUUGUCAGAGCCACCCACAUAAGGAUGUUGUUAUGUUUUCUUUCUUCUAACACGUCAGCUUGGAGAACUAAUUGUUCCCUGAAUUCCUACAUCUCUCAUGAGCUGUCAGGUACCACUGUGAAAAGAAAAUCAAUGAUACUUAUGUCACCUGGCAGUGAUCAUAGCAUUAUAUCUGGGUAAGGUAAAAAGUAGCUUAUGCCUUUUAAAGAAAGUAUUUCAUUAUCACUUGAAGUGCAGAUGAGCAUUUUUAUUUGGGACAAUUGUAGCUUAUAAAAUCAUAACUUUGUCGCUGCUCUGAGUGUCAAGGAGAAGGCCACACAAGUCUGACUCAGAGUUUUUUCUUUUUCUAAACUUGAUUUCUUUCAUUUCAAUGCAAAAGGAAUUGCAACAGAAUGUAAGCUAGGAUAAAGCAGUAGCUGUUGUGGCACAGACAAAAAAGGCUUAAGUUCAUGACCAAACUUUUAAUACGAUGCUGCAGCCUACUUGUGAACUAGUGCACUAAAUUUGCAUGCAAAGGUGGGGGACCCUCACCUUGGGUGUCGAGCCUCCCUACAGAGCAACCAACGCCCCUGAAAGAAAGAAACAGAAUCAACCAACAAAACAACACAACACAACACAAUCCAGUUGAUAAGGCAGAGAACUCGAAAUGAUCAGAGCAAUUUACCUUGAAUGAAAGUAAACACUUGCUAAACUAAGGCAACCAAGCUGUAAAAUAACAGAGAUAUGGGGGCAAAACAGCAGUUAAUCCAUCUCAGGGCCAGCCAACCCAGUUACUGUGAAAGUGAUAUCUGUAAAUGAUGUUUAGAUUAGUCAAGACAUAGAAGCUUCUUUGAUAAAAGAAACCAACACGGCAUACCUAAAAAGCAUCACCAAACAGCCUCAGCAGCAGCAACAAGAGGCCAACUGAAGGCUUUUGUAGAGUGUAGAUAAGUGUGGGGCCUGGCUGCCACUCAUGCCAGACAAACAUCCAGCUUGGAUCAAUUAAGUUCAUCGCCAACAAGUCUACCUGGAAUCUGGGUGUCAUGUUUGAUGACCAGCAAACCUUUAAGGGUCAUGUGGCUUUGAUUGCUUGAUCACGUAGAUCUGCAGUUUAAAAUCUAGAUCAAACAAUACCUGGCAAAGCAUGCAAUAACCUGUGGCUGCUAUUUACUUCUCUCUACAAAUUCCUGUUGCCACCAAAAGCCUACUUCUCAGAUACAAAGCAGUGACAAAAAAUGGCUCCUACCUGCCUGGAGUCCCUCACCCACCUCUACACUCCCUCUUGCACUAAGCUCUGCCAACAAAAGGUGCCUGGUGCCUUCAUAAGAAGUGGUCAAUUGCCGAUAGCGAGAUUCUUCUCAUCUGUUGUCCCCAGUUGUGGACAACAACUGUUAGAGACCACAUGCAACCUGCAGAGUCUUAGUCUACAUUUAAGAGAGUCUAAGACCCAGCUCUCAGUAAACAAUGGCAUUGAUGAUAGUAUUAAGGUUUCAUUAGGACAGUGUUGUUUUCCCCCUUUUUUCCACGAUGAAACAUAAGUCUUAAAUGAUUAAAAUGUGACAAGACGAAUGUGUGUUUAUGUUGACGAGACUAGACGAAAACGUUGUGGUGGACGACGAACAGAGUUGCAAAAUUCAUAGGCAUUUUGUCAGUCAAAUGCUAAACAUAUAUUCUGCAGAGUUGUUUUCGUUGGCUUAAUGUUGUUUUCGUUGGCUUAAUGUUGUUUUUGUUGGCUUAAUGUUGUUGCUGUUGCUUUGGUUAAGAUUUAUUUUAAAAUUCUGCUCCGAUACACCCUGUGCAUUGCCUCUACCACUGCAUCUACUCAGCACAUGUGUCUAACUGGAUUGAAGGCAGUUUGUAGCACCUAUUCAUGUUUCCUCCUGUCUAGACCCUUGCUUGUGUUGUACUUACUCUCUUUUGUGCAUCAAUUUGAAACAAAGUGUGAUUGAAAUUAUAACAUUGUCCUGAAGGGGAACCUUCCCAAAAGGGUAAAUAAAGUUGUAUCUAUUCUGAAUACUAUCGGCCAAUGUCUUUAACUACCACCAUUGUCAUAAAUCUCCAGUAACCUCUGAUAACAAGCUCAGCUACAGCCACUUAUAAAAGAAACCACCAGUCUUGCCUUCCUUCCUCAUUAAAGAAGGUGGCCUCCAUAACCUCAAACUCGAAGGCCAUUACCAGCAAUUUACAGUUAACUUCAUCUGCAGCCUUUGACAGCAAAACUGCACACCAGUGCACUGUGAAAGAAACUUCUGUCUUCUGACUGAAGCUUCUGCGAACGACCUUAAACCUCAACCUUAAGGGAUAUUUUAGUAAUUUUGAUGUGUUCUAGUCACAGUGGAUGCUGGUCUGCCAAAAUCAGGCAUCACUUUUCCAUCAGAAGCCUUUUUUUUUUGCAUCAUUGGUGGAUUCAACACACAAAAGUGCUCCUCUGCAUACAGCACACUGAGCUGUUCCAACAGCAGACUUUAAAGAGACAAAAUACAAUAAUCCACCAUGGAUACAUCUGGAGACCUAGCCUAUAUGGAGCAGGGUUUACAGAGGAAAGAGGUGUCUCAAUUCUUUAAAGGAAAGAGCAGGGAAACCUUUGUACAAACUCGAGAGUGUGAGAGAUCCCUUGUAUCCUGCUGGAGCAGCUGUGUCAAUUACAAGCAAAUGCUUGGGAACACAGACAAUGUAGGGGUUUGUGGUCCUAAGCAUUUGGAACACAGACACUUUCAUUGGCAUUUAACAGCACAAUGACACAACACAUGGUCCAUGGAUUAAAAAAUACACUGUGUUUGCUGCUGAAGUAAAGGACUGAGCUAAAAACUUGGGACAAAUUAUUGUGUUUAACAAUUGAUCUUACACAUCAAGUUUAACAUCAUACAAAACUGAGAUGCAAAAAUAUCAAAGUUCACAAUAUGUCAGUCUCUCCUACAUCAUUGACUGGAUUAGCUGAU
Molecule: non-coding RNA, 3243 nt
Organism: Xyrichtys novacula (pearly razorfish)
Lineage: Eukaryota; Metazoa; Chordata; Actinopteri; Labriformes; Labridae
Source: the annotation of a GenBank genome assembly